CAUCAUUAAUAAAGAUCACGCAGUGAUUAACAACAUAUGCAUACUACACUCCUUGCCAAUAGGAUUCUACAGAGAAUUUCGCAAUGUUUUUGCAUCUCUCUUUCUUCGGUCUUCGCUGUGUUCCCAAGCAACCGGCCUGCAGGCACGCAUGCACAUCGAUCGCCAGCUUCUGUCAGAUUUGCAAUGGAAACCGGGAACUCGUAAAGAAAAGGCAACGGCACUCACAUCUUGGAUGGACGGGACAUAGGGCUCCAGCUACUGUCCAUUCUCUCUCCUAAAUGGUUUUUCUUAGGCCUUGUGCAGUUCCCAAAUUUUUUUUCUACAAACAUCUGAUGGAAUUUUUAAACACCUAAAUAAAGCAUUAAAU
Molecule: long non-coding RNA, 367 nt
Filed under: Oryza brachyantha (malo sina)
Lineage: Eukaryota; Viridiplantae; Streptophyta; Magnoliopsida; Poales; Poaceae
Description: long non-coding RNA (OBRA_LNC000052)
Source: RNAcentral